ACAAAACAAAACAUACAAAACAAACAAACAAACACAUAAUACACAGAUGGAAUUCUUUUAGAUAGCUUCAUUUAUCUGAGAAUAUUUGCUAUCCUUCCUUCAAGUAGAUUCAUGCAAUAUGAAGUCUGAAAUCAAAACUGCAAUUAAAAAAGUGGUAAUCAUUUAAACAAAAUGUAAACAUUUAUAGGAAAAAAAGGAUUUUCAAGGUCACUCUAAAAUUUUCACAACUGGCCCAUAAAGAGACUGUUGUGAGUUUCUGAUGGCUGGGGUUCUUCCUGAGAGUGACAAUAAGAUGUUUCCAAUUCCACCUGAGGAAAAACUGGCCAACAAUUACUUCUAUGGUUAAACACACACUCAAAAAAUCUUUCUACCUUCAUAUGACAUAAAAACAAAGGUAAUCUAACCCAAAAGUUAAAGACAUAGUAUUCCACUCCAAUGUACUACCAGCAAGAAUAGAACCAAAGAUCUGAGGAAACUGGAGAUUUCUUCACGUGAAACUAAAAUUGUUUGCCACAUCAAAAGCAGACUCUAAUUUUUCAGCCUUGGGCUUGACAUUUUGUUUCUCUGAACACAUGCAACUGUACCGCUCAUUUCAGAUGUUGGGAAUAAAUGCCCAUUCACAUUUUAUCUUAAUAAGAUCUAAGUAUUAAGCAAACCUUGCAUUACAGUGGGAGUUGCUAGUGACCCAGAGGAAGUGACAGUGAGCAUGGAUUUCUGCAAGGACCAGCAACAACCCUUUCUCUUCAGUCAGGUACUACUUACAUUAAAACAAAGCUCUUUUCCAACUGUUUUCUGCAGGAUAUUGGUAGUAUAAACUCACCUGCCUGACUUUGCCCUGAGGUGGGCAAAACAAAUUUGCACACUCCGUCACAAGUGAAAACAAUUAAAUGAGCUGCUCCUCUUAUGUUUAAGCACAUGGCACCUGACUGUAGUGGAGUGGAUGGCUUCAAGAGAUGCUGACACAGCACAGAUGUAAACUUGUUAGCAGGAAGGUGGUGACUGGGAUUACAACUCCAACCACAUUAUCAUAUUCCAAGCUUUCCAACAGAAGAUCCUCCUUGACACCAGUGAAGAUAACGACUUCAGUGCUGAGAAAGUGAAAAACGCAGUUUGGAAACUAACUUCAGCCUGACUCAAAAUUUAAAUAAGAUUACACAGAAUCAGCUCAAUGCUCUUCAUAAACCUUGUUCAGCUACUGGUGAAUACUUACGAUUGAGUUGAUCUGCUCAGCCUGGACCACGUCCUGGAUGACUGUAAAAUGCUGUGGCAAAAUGCUAAGCAUCUGUAAACCUGUGAUUUCUGGAAUAUUCCAAAGGCCAGCAAAUAUUUCUGAUAUUACAAGGAAUAUUGUUGCAUAAGUGUUGCAGUAAAGAAAGGAGAACUAUAUCUUACAGAAUUAGAUACAUGAUGUUGGGGAUAAAGCAGCCACUAGCCCAGGAUGAGAUGGGCUUAGGAGAUGCAGAAUCUCAAGUACAAGAUGGGUAUAUGAAGCCUGAAAUACGACAUACUUUUUGGGAAGAGAGUGCAUGCAUCUCUGUGUAUCUGAUGAUGCUUUAUGAAACUAAUGAAAAAUGAAAAAAUAAAAUUCAGCAGCAAAGACAAAAAAUAAAAAUCUCUUCAGUCACUAUUAUAAAAACAGCCAACAAAUGGAAACUUUUUUCUCACCUUUCAGUUUCUUUCCUCUGUCCUCCAAAUGCUACCACAGUUUGAAUUGCUGCCAGAACUUCCUCUGCAACAGCUCCUGCUUUUGCAUAUGCAGUCAGUUCUUUGUUAGUGAAUGCAGAAAUUAUCUGUGUGGAAGAAAAAUCAUUUAACUUUCCUGUUCAAACAAAAACAGAACCAGCACAAUCACUAUACUGAUUUAUUUGAAUACCUUUUU
Molecule: non-coding RNA, 1879 nt
Organism: Anas platyrhynchos (mallard)
Lineage: Eukaryota; Metazoa; Chordata; Aves; Anseriformes; Anatidae
Source: RefSeq, a predicted model, not a curated record